RNAcentral lists this ribosomal RNA (466 nucleotides) under uncultured bacterium. Its description in RNAcentral is "partial 16S ribosomal RNA". It matches the Rfam family "Bacterial small subunit ribosomal RNA", at positions 28 to 507 of the family's 1533-position model. The record is from RNAcentral.
GAUGAACGCUGGCGGCGUGCUUAACACAUGCAAGUCGAACGAUGAAGCCCAGCUUGCUGGGUGGAUUAGUGGCGAACGGGUGAGUAACACGUGAGUAACCUGCCCUUAACUCUGGGAUAAGCCUGGGAAACUGGGUCUAAUACCGGAUAGGAGCGUCCACCGCAUGGUGGGUGUUGGAAAGAUUUAUCGGUUUUGGAUGGACUCGCGGCCUAUCAGCUUGUUGGUGAGGUAAUGGCUCACCAAGGCGACGACGGGUAGCCGGCCUGAGAGGGUGACCGGCCACACUGGGACUGAGACACGGCCCAGACUCCUACGGGAGGCAGCAGUGGGGAAUAUUGCACAAUGGGCGCAAGCCUGAUGCAGCGACGCCGCGUGAGGGAUGACGGCCUUCGGGUUGUAAACCUCUUUCAGUAGGGAAGAAGCGAAAGUGACGGUACCUGCAGAAGAAGCACCGGCUAACCACGUG